This 139-nucleotide unclassified non-coding RNA is filed under the name soil metagenome. Its description in RNAcentral is "partial internal transcribed spacer 1". The record is from RNAcentral.
CAUUCAGUAGCCUCGCUACUUGUUUAUACCCUUGUUUUUUUGCGUACUAUUGUUUCCUCGGCGGGCUUGCCUGCCGGUUGGACAAAACUAUAAACCUUUUUAAAUCUUCAAUCAGCGUCUGAAUUAUACAUAAUAAUUA